RNAcentral lists this long non-coding RNA (2304 nucleotides) under Nicotiana benthamiana. Its description in RNAcentral is "long non-coding RNA (NBEN_LNC027190)". Lineage: Eukaryota; Viridiplantae; Streptophyta; Magnoliopsida; Solanales; Solanaceae. The record is from RNAcentral.
ACUUAACAGUGCACAUUUUAACCACAGGAGAAAAAGUGUCAGUGAAAUCAAUACCUUCAACCUGAGUAUCACCUCUGAUAACAAGUCUAGCUUUAUACCUUUCAACACUGCCAUCAGCCUUGUAUUUAAUUUUAUAAACCCAUUUGCAGCCAAUGGGUUUCUUACCAAGAGGAAGAGGAACGACAUCCCAAGUAUGGUUUGUAGCCAAAGCAUCAAACUCCUUUUUCAUGGCAUCCUGCCAAGCUGGAACAGAUGCAGCUUGAGAGUAAUAUAAAGGUUCAGAUUCCAAAGAAAAGGAAGAGGAUCCAGAAAAGGCAGGAAGUUGGCAGACAUACUCCUUAAGGUAAGAGGGAGGAUUAUGAUGUCUUGUAGAUUUUCUGGGAGCAGGAAUAGAUGGGGAAGAUGCCAAGGGAGGAGGAGAGAUAUCAGGAUUGAAGGAAGGAAUGGGAGCUAGAUCAGUAGAAUCUGGAGCAAUAUAAGGAGGCUCUGGAACAGUUGUAGGAGGAAGAGGAGAGGAAAUAGGUAUGGAAGGGUCUGGAUCAUUGGAAAGUUCUACAGGAGGAAUAAAAGGAAAGGAUGAAGGAGAAGGAUGAACAGAAGGUGAUGCAGUCUUAAAGGGAAAACAAGUUUAAUGAAAUAUAACAUCCCUGGAAACAAAACAUUUCUUGGAAGCAAGAUCAUACAGUUUAUAACCCUUUUUUGGCAAAGGGAUACCCCAGGAAAACACAAGAAAUGGCUCUAGGCCUUAACUUGUCCCUUAAGAUCAUACAAUUUAUAGCCAUUUUUUGCAAAGGGAUACCCCAGGAAAGCACAAGAGAUGGCUCUAGGCCUUAACUUGUCCCUUUGAGGAAUUGGGACAGUAGUAUAGGCAAGGCACCCAAAUGCUCUCAAGUGAGAAUAGGUUGGAGCUUUCCCAUACAAAAUUUCAUUAGGAGAUUUAUUGUGAAGCAAUCUGGAUGGUAUUCUAUUAAGGAGGUAAGUGGCAUUCAACAAACAGUCCCCCCCAGAAAGAUAUAGGUAGUCCAGAUUGGAAAAGUAAAGCUCUACAUGUUUCAAUGAGGGUUCUAUGCUUUCUUUCAACAACACCAUUCUGUUGAGGAGAAUGAGGGCAGGUGGUUUGAUGAAUAAUCCCUUGGCUACUAAAGAAAGAUGUACCCUCAAUGCUAGAUCCCAAUUCUAAAGCAUUGUCACUUCUAACAGUUUGAACCACAACAUUAAAUUGGGUUUUAACUAGAGAAAGGAAUGACUUAAGCAGAGAAAAGGCAUUGCAGCUAGACCCCAAUUCUAAAGCAUUGUCAUUUCUAACAGUUUGAACCACAGCAUUAAAUUGGGUUUUAACCAAACAUAGGAAGGACUUAAACAAAGAAAAAGCAUUGCUUUUAGAUCCCAUUAAGUGUGUCCAGGUAGCCCUAGAGAAAUCAGCAACAAUUGUAAGGAAAUAUCUACAACCAGAAGAAGUAGGAGUAUGAUAAGGCCCCCAAGUAUCCACAUGAAUUAGUUGAAAAGGUCUAGAAUUGCUUAAUAGAACUAUCAGGAAAGGGGAGUCUAGUCUGUUUUGCCAUGGGACAAAUAGAACAGGGGAAAGGUUGUUUAGAAGCAAAUGGAAAAGUCAAACCAUAAAUGUGUCUCAUAUUUGUAAAAGAAGUAUGGGCAAGUCUUAAAUGCCAAAUGUAGUUCAUGUCAGUUGUAACAACAUUAUUACAGAUGGAACCAUGUACAUUUGAGGACAAGCUAACAGUCUUGUUAUCAGACAAAAUGUCAUCAUUACAAGAAGCAGACACAGGACUUACAGAAGUAGAUGAACAAUUAAUGGAAGAAGAAGGGGAAGGUAGAACCCAAGCCAGUUUAUACAAGCCAGCAUCUUCUCUACCAAGAUCCAGAGGCCUCCUCAGAGAAGGGUCCUGUAUCAUGUGGAGGAAGCAAGAAUUUUUAGUGAACAGAACUACACAAUGCAACUAUUUCACUAACUUGUGGACAGAAAUCAAGUUUUGUUUAAAGGAAGGAACCAGCAACACAUUGUGAAGUGUAAUGAAUGGAGUUAGUGCAAAACAACUUGUGCAUGUCACUUUCAUUUUAUAGCCAUUUGGAAGAGUCACAAGAUAGGGCACAGGUAAAGGUGUGAUGUUAGAGAGUAAAUGUUUAUCAUGUGUCAUAUGAUUAGAAACACAUGAAUCUAUGAUCCAGGUGACAGAAUUAAUGUGGGUAAGCAUGCAAAGUUUGGAAUCAGAAAUGGGGCUCUCAGUUAGCAUAGUACCAGCAAAGUUAGCAGCAUACAUGGGAGGAGGAGUCUGAGCAGUGGAGUCC